GAUGAACGCUAGCUACAGGCUUAACACAUGCAAGUCGAGGGGUAACGAGAGGGAAGCUUGCUUUCCUUGUCGACGACCGGCGCACGGGUGAGUAACGCGUAUCCAACCUGCCCCCAACUAGGGAAUAACCUUGCGAAAGUAAGACUAAUACCCUAUAAUCUCCUCAGAUGUCAUCUGACGAGGAAUAAAGAUUUAUCGGUUGUGGAUGGGGAUGCGUCUGAUUAGCUUGUUGGCGGGGUAACGGCCCACCAAGGCAACGAUCAGUAGGGGUUCUGAGAGGAAGGUCCCCCACAUUGGAACUGAGACACGGUCCAAGCUCCUACGGGAGGCAGCAGUGAGGAAUAUUGGUCAAUGGGCGGAAGCCUGAACCAGCCAAGUAGCGUGCAGGAUGACGGCCCUAUGGGUUGUAAACUGCUUUUAUACAGGAAUAAAGUUAGCCACGUGUGGUUAUUUGUAGGUACUGUAUGAAUAAGGACCGGCUAAUUCCGUGCCAGCCGCCGCGGUAA
RNAcentral lists this ribosomal RNA (506 nucleotides) under uncultured bacterium. RNAcentral describes it as "partial 16S ribosomal RNA". It matches the Rfam family "Bacterial small subunit ribosomal RNA", at positions 28 to 523 of the family's 1533-position model. The record is from RNAcentral.